RNAcentral lists this ribosomal RNA (234 nucleotides) under uncultured bacterium. RNAcentral describes it as "partial 16S ribosomal RNA". It matches the Rfam family "Bacterial small subunit ribosomal RNA", at positions 118 to 347 of the family's 1533-position model. The record is from RNAcentral.
UGAGUAACCUGCCCUUCACUCUGGGAUAACUCCGGGGAAACCGGGGCUAAUACUGGAUAUGACUCGAACAGGCAUCUGUUUCGGGUGGAAAGAUUUAUUGGUGGAGGAUGGACUCGCGGCCUAUCAGCUUGUUGGUGAGGUAAUGGCUCACCAAGGCAACGAUGCGUAGCCGACCUGAGAGGGUGAUCGGCCACAUUGGAACUGAGACACGGCCCAGACCUCCGUACGGGAGCA